This 253-nucleotide ribosomal RNA is filed under the name uncultured bacterium. RNAcentral's name for it is "partial 16S ribosomal RNA". It matches the Rfam family "Bacterial small subunit ribosomal RNA", at positions 524 to 776 of the family's 1533-position model. The record is from RNAcentral.
UACGAAGGGGGCUAGCGUUGUUCGGAAUUACUGGGCGUAAAGCGCACGUAGGCGGCUUUGUAAGUUAGAGGUGAAAGCCCGGAGCUCAACUCCGGAACUGCCUUUAAGACUGCAUCGCUUGAAUCCAGGAGAGGUGAGUGGAAUUCCGAGUGUAGAGGUGAAAUUCGUAGAUAUUCGGAAGAACACCAGUGGCGAAGGCGGCUCACUGGACUGGUAUUGACGCUGAGGUGCGAAAGCGUGGGGAGCAAACAGG